Long non-coding RNA from Numida meleagris (helmeted guineafowl), 3491 nucleotides. RefSeq lists it as uncharacterized. NCBI's taxonomy places the organism in Eukaryota, Metazoa, Chordata, Aves, Galliformes, Numididae. The record is from RefSeq and is a predicted model, not a curated record. The transcript is spliced from 4 exons.
GGGCCGGUCCGCGGGCGGGGAGGUGCCGCUGUGCCAGCGGCCGGACGGGAGGAUGCGGGCGCGCUGACGGAGCUGCCGGCUCCCCCUCUGCCGCCGUGCAUGGGCGGCGGGCGGCUGCCGGCCUCGCCUCGCCUCGCCUCGCCUCGCCUCGCCUCGCCUCGCCUCACUUCGCUUCUCUUCUCCGCUCCGGCACUUCUAGGAUUUGACAGAGCCUGCACAGCACUUUGUCAGCAGGAGUGAACAUCUGCAGCUGUUUUCAGAAACGACGCCCAUUUAUGUGAUUGAAGCAUGACAGAGGUGAUGAACACACGGGAACCAGUGAUGGAGGAAUUUGCACUCAGUCAGACUCCUGAGGAAGAAGGGAGCCCUUCCAGCCAGAUACUUUAGUGCAUCCAGCUCCAGCAGUGGAAGACAGCACAGAUACUCUCGAAAGCAGAACUGAAAAGGAUGAGUAGGAAUUCCAUGGCCUCAGAAGUGAAACUUCAUUGUGAAUGUUGCUGACAAGCUAACACACUCUGAAGAUAUGUCAAACUAAUCUGUAUUUAAGUCUGCAAGGGUUUUAUUUAGUUAGUACAUGGUAGGAAGUGUAUGGGCUUUAGAACUGUUCAUUUCAACAUUUUGACUUUCAGGCUGAGAUUCAUAUUAUUUGUUUAGUUUGUCCAUGGGAAACAAAGGGACGUGUUAGUAAAUGCGCCAUAGAGCUGAGAUUACAAAGGAAAAAUGUUCCUAAUUUCAAUUAGCACAUUUCAUUGGAUUUACCUUUUUUAAGCAAGGCUGCUUUCAGGUAUCAACAGCAGGACCAAGGGGUUACAUUUCUCCAGAAGGGGUGUCUUAAAUCUAAAACCUUUAUUGUUUUUAGCCAUUUAAAACUAGCACUGUGAUAUUAUGGACAAUAGUUGUAAUAUAAUGUCACCAUUUGAUUUUGUAACUUUUGUAUAGAGAUGCAAGUGUAAGAUUAGCCUCCAUCGCUACGCAGGAUCUCCAGGCUGCCGCCUGGGUGCAGAUCAGAGCAGAUCUCUCCCUUUGGCCAACCUGUGCAAAUUGAGGUGAACCAGCCUUGUGCUAAAUGUCUUUUCAGUAAGGCUCAGAAGUUUCAGAAACACUUCCUUCCUUGCUGUACAUUGAUGAACUGGAAUAGCUAGUCGCUGGUGUUCGUGGAGUGAGGCUGUUCGUUGUAGAUUUGGUUGGGUGGGUUGUGCUGUUUGUGCACUCUUUGGGGACCACGUCCAGCUGUGCUCUUCACCGAAGGCAGCGAAAUGGCUCCUGCUUCUGCCUAGGCUGGAUUUGUCCCACCUUGUUCAUAGAAGUUGUCGUAACUAUUCCUUUGGUAUGUUUUGUGUAUAAAAUGGAUGCAGAGGUUCAGCUCUUCCUCCCUCAACCCAAGCCACGCAGUGGUUAUGUGGGUGAAGGGAGCUCCAUGGCAUGGCCCAAUCUCCCCAUUCUUUUGUGGAGCCUUUUCACCCAGUGCCAGGUCCUCUCCAAGCCACAUGUGAGAGUGGAAGAGGGCCAGGGUGGUGAGACGCACACCAGCCUCCAGCCUGUCCCUGGGGAACCCUCACCUGGCCCAACCCCUCGGCUCUGGUCAUACAGCCAUCUCCAAGACCGCAGCCCACAGUGGGAUGAGUUCCGCACAUAUUGGUCUUUGCUGGAUGCUCUUUGUCUCCCUGUCUGGAGAUGGAUAUGAGGGCCAUUUCCACAGAGGCGAGCUUGCUCCUGCACAGGGACCUUCCAGAGACUCCCUACCUCUGGGCACCAUACCAGGAGAAGUAAUGAUCUUGGCCCAAAACAUUACCCCCUGGACAGUGUCGGUGGAGAUGAUGCACAUUCUCAAAGGGUGCAACUGCUUCAGUGACAAGAGUCUUGCGAGCUAUGAAGCUGGAUACCUCCAUCUCGGCAGGGCUGGACAGGGUCUGUACUUCCAAUUAAUGUUGCAGCCGGAAGAAGCCGCUUGCUGUGGGUGGAAUGAAAUAACAGGAUUUCUUCCAGCAUUAACUCCUGAGUUCACUUUCAAGUGCAUUCUUCUCUCCAGUAAUACUUUUCUCUAAAGGAAACUUUCAAUUGUGUGAUGAUGGAUAAAAUUUACUGGCCAGAUAUAUUAAUUAGAUAAGUUUAUACCUUCUUAGCAACCAAAUUUAAUAUAUUUACUUACAAAGAAUUCUGUGCAAUGAAUGUUUAAUACAAAGGAAAGAGACUAUUUUACUUCAAAGCAACAUUAACUUAUGUACAAAAUUAUAGCUCAUUAUUUGGGGUGUUUGGGAUCUAGGACCCUUUUUAUAAGCAGCGUAGUGUAGUAUAAUGUGAUACUGAAGUCUAACUUUGCUCUCUCAACCUAUAUAAAACUUGUUCUGCCUUUCUGAUGUACACGUCCUUACGCAACCUUUCCCCAAAUUAUUCACAAUGGUGGGAGCACCAGACCUUGGCAGAGCAGCAGAAGAUUUUGGGAUCACCUCCUGUGCCUGGCUGCUGUGCCUGGGCACAGGGUGCCCUUUAAAUGCUGCCCUAGCACUGGCUGGAGUUUGCUGGAGCUCAAGGGAAAAGUAGCGACGAUGACAACGUAUUUUUGUCCGCGUGAUUUCCUUGACCCCACGUCUGCCCAGCUCCGUGGGGAAUGACGACAGACGUGUCACUUGAUUUGCUUUUCACUUUGUAAAAGGAAAACCAGUUAUUUGGAACACUUCCCCUCAUUUUAUGUGCACUCUAUCUGCUCUCAGAUGCUCCCUCCCUUCCUGUUCUGGAUGGCCCUUAUCCCAUUUCCACCUGAGGUCAAUGGCACUUCCCUAAAUAAAUUUCCUAAAGAAACAACAAAAUGCAACAUCCACCCUGUCAAAAAGCCACACGAUGCUACUUUUUUUUGCUCAUCGUACACAGUGCUGCAGCCUGUGCAGAAAUGCCAGAUUUCCUUCUUCCAGCCCCACCACUGCCCUCUUUCCUGUUUCCUCUUUCUGCUACUCCCUCUGAGUGUUUCAGCUGAAGCAAAUGGAUGCUUCAGACCUCAGCUUUCCACUGAAGCUGUGUGGCCCCAGUUUAACCACCACGCAAAGCCAAACUCCUCCUCCUGCUUUUAUUUUUCUGAGCAUGGGCCAGAGGCCCUAAAGUAGGUGAGCAAGAUAGAGAGAAACUUGUUUUAUAUGAACAAGCCCUAUUUAUUCAACUUGCAGGUCUAUGAAUGUUCACUUACUUUGUCUGUGUGCAAGUAUUGUCUCUCUGAUAAACUCAGUUAUUGUUUUGUAUUUUUUUCUGGAUGAAAAGCUUUGUAGAAACUAAAAAGGAAAAAAAAAGACAUUCAGUCAUAUUUUUCUAGUCCAGCUUGUAGAAUAUUUCAUGUAGUGCAGAAAGGAAGUUUUAUGGAGUAAGACAUUGUUGGAUUUUGCUCUGUUUCUGUUCUUUCUAAUUUUGUAAAAUGCCACCUGUACAUAAUACUCAACUAAUGUAUGUUCUGUAGAUGUACUACACCAUUUAGCCUAUUAAAUGCCUACAACAGACUGAUUGGA